UAGGGAAUCUUCGGCAAUGGGGGCAACCCUGACCGAGCAACGCCGCGUGAGUGAAGAAGGUUUUCGGAUCGUAAAGCUCUGUUGUAAGAGAAGAACGUGUGUGAGAGUGGAAAGUUCACACAGUGACGGUAACUUACCAGAAAGGGACGGCUAACUACGUGCCAGCAGCCGCGGUAAUACGUAGGUCCCGAGCGUUGUCCGGAUUUAUUGGGCGUAAAGCGAGCGCAGGCGGUUUAAUAAGUCUGAAGUUAAAGGCAGUGGCUUAACCAUUGUUCGCUUUGGAAACUGUUAAACUUGAGAGCAGAAGGGGAGAGUGGAAUUCCAUGUGUAGCGGUGAAAUGCGUAGAUAUAUGGAGGAACACCGGUGGCGAAAGCGGCUCUCUGGUCUGUAACUGACGCUGAGGCUCGAAAGCGUGGGGAGCAAACAGG
This 429-nucleotide ribosomal RNA is filed under the name bacterium. Its description in RNAcentral is "partial 16S ribosomal RNA". It matches the Rfam family "Bacterial small subunit ribosomal RNA", at positions 355 to 776 of the family's 1533-position model. The record is from RNAcentral.